This 3898-nucleotide long non-coding RNA is filed under the name Lathyrus oleraceus (garden pea). RNAcentral describes it as "Pisum sativum (pea) long non-coding RNA (PSAT_LNC039279)". The record is from RNAcentral. Lineage: Eukaryota; Viridiplantae; Streptophyta; Magnoliopsida; Fabales; Fabaceae.
UUCUUAUGAAAUUUCUUGCGAUUUCCUUUUUCUCCAUUCCCACCAAGCUUCCCCGUCAGAAUUCCCAUGUCUGCAACACCUCUGAGAAUUGCUAAAACCCCGGAGCCACCGUAGGACUGCCUGGCGAACUACACCAUAAAACCGCUGGAAUUCCGCCUCAACCAUGAACGGCACCGGUAAACCAACUCGGUGUAACAACUCUAUGAGUUCUAGAGGUAAAUAAUCUAUAAGAUUCUUUGUUAUUUCAUUCAUUCUUCCAAUGCAUUUUCAAUUAUACGCUAUCCAAUUAUCUCCUCAAUUUUGAUUAUAUUUUUUAUUGGAUUAUUAUAGCUCAAAUAUGUUAUGGAAUUAAUUUAUCAAAUAUUGAGUUCUAUUCUAUUACAAGUACAUGUGCUUUAGAAACAAAAUAAAAAAAGUGAGUGUAAACAAAUGUAGAACACUACCUCCCCACUGCACCAAAUAUAUCUAGAAAUCAAGGAAUUAGAUUUGUCAUGAAUUCUUCUGGGAUCGUGAUCAUAACUACUCGGAUGUGAGCGAUUUUUCCUCGAUUUAUUUUACUGCAUUUCUUUCCAUUAGGUCAGCAUUCAUUGUUGUUGUCUGCUAAUAUUUGGGAAUGAAUUCUUCCUGCAACUGGACCAAUAUUCAGCUACCAGUUUAGAGAAUGAAGAAUCGGUAUCCAUUAGGUUUGAAGGCUCAUCAUACUCCACCACUUUCCCUUUAAUAAUGACCAACCAAAUAUUAUGCAACAAAAAAUAGUAGUUGAAAUCAAAAGUAGAGAAGAUUAAAGAAUUAACAUACCAUAAGAGAGGACCAUGACCAUGUCACUGUCUAUUACUGUUGGAACUCUAUGAGCAACUGUUAUAACUGUGCAUUCUGCAAAUUCUUGUCUAAUUACUCUUUGUAGAAUGACAUCGGUUGCAGAGUCAAUGGAUGCAGUAGCUUCAUCUAGAACAAGAAUUCUGUUUCUCUUAAGUAGAACUCUUCCAAGACAAAACAAUUGUCUUUGUCCCAAGCUCCAAUUUCCACCUUCAUCAUUCACUGCAAAACUAUCAGAAUUACACUUUGUUCGUUGCAAAAUCAUAUACCAAAACUGAAUAAUGAUUAUUUAGUUUCCUUAAAGUUGAAAGAGAUUGUUGCCAAAGAUUUACCUGAAGAGUCCAAGAGAUUUGGUAGCUUGCUGAUUGUUUCCUUAAGCUGACAUUUCUCCACAGCCUAAACAUUCGAAUCAAAUAUAAUCAAACCAAUUCAUAUUGAACGGCUCAUGUAAAAAUUGAUAUUCAAGUUUCAACUACAUUUAAUAGCUACACAUUUUUUUGACCACUUGUAAAGUUAGUUCAUUCACCUUCCAUAUUUCAUCAUCUGAGUACAUGUCUAGAGGGUCUAGGUUUGUCCUAAUGCUGCCCUUGAAAAGAGUUGGUUCUUGAGGGAUUAUGCUUAGCCUCGUUCUCAAAUCCUUCAACCCCAUUGAGCAGAUGUUUAUCCCAUCAAUGAGAAUAUCACCUCUUGAAGGCUCAACUAAGCGAAACAAAGCAUUUAUAAGUGUACUUUUUCCGCUUCCAGUCCUCCCAACAACUCCUACCAUACUCCCUUCUUUAAAUGUACAAGAAAUUCCCUUAAGGACUAAUGGAGUGUUAGGGCGAUACCUAACCUGAAACAAUGUAAAACAUAGCUAUCAAAACAGAACUUUUUCCACUUCAGAAAUAAAAAGGAGAAAACUGAAAGCAGUGGUGGAAAAAAAGGCACGGUAGAUUAUAGGAAAAUCUAUUUUAUAAGUCUACGUCUAUAUAGUCCGUUUCAUAGACAUGAGUUAGGCUCUUAAAACCAAAUUCUAAGACAUUGAUGUAAUGUUACCUCCAAGCCUUGAAUAACAAUCUUGCCCUUAGAAGGCCAUGAAGAUGGCGGUUGGUUGUCCUCCACAUUGGCAGGCGGCUCAGCUGGUAUGUGAAUGAAUUGCUUGAUUCUUUCAACAGAGAUAAUGUAGUUUGACAAGUUGGAAAACCAUCUAGUCCAAAAUAUCUGUGCUCCUGUCAAAGUAAAAGCAUAGGAAAGAGACAGUCCGACAAGGCCUGCACAGUAUAGGAGAGUUAUUAGCUUGAAGAAAAUAUUACCAUGUUCUGUCACUGCAAACACACCAUUUUUUCCUGCUUUUAGUCUUUUUUUUAUUUUUAAAUUCUUAUAAAUAUAUGGUUUUAAACCUAUAUUUUAUUACUACCUGGCGAUACAUAUCCUUGAGGAAGAAGAAUAAGCAACAAAGCUGCAGUUAUGACAGUCAAAUUUUGAACUGCCUCAAUUCUUAAAACUACCCAUUCCAUUGCCACAUUGGAAUGAUAGAACAAUGAAGCAUCUGUGUCCACAAGUGUUAAGUAGUUUUUGAAAAAUCUGUCUGCCAUGCUGUAUGCUCUUACAGUGACCACUCCAAGUGAUGUCUCAGCUGCAAAAUUCAUGAUUGGAGCUUUGGUGGUUCCGUUGAUCCGAGUUAGUUCCCUUGCAGUGGCUUGAUAAUAUUUCUUUGAGAAGAAAAAGAAAGAAAUCAGAUUAAGUUCUUAAUCUAACCAUUGAAAAAGAAUGGCUAAUCAAGAAAAGUUGGAAAUCAUAUGAUAAACCUGAAUGAGUAUUGAUGCGACUACUGCAGGAACAGCAACAAUGAGAACUUGCCAUGUGACUGAAGCCAUUAUAGAAAUAACCACCAAAAUUUCAAUUGAUAUUGAUGCUACAAAGGUAAUGGAAUAAGGUAUAUCGAAAUCCAAAAUGCUCAAAUCUGAUGAAGCCUACAUAAGAGAGAAAAUAUUAGUAAAAUCAUGGAGGUUAGUUAAAUAGCAAUGAAUGAACAGAAAAUACAUAGAUUUUGUACUCCUUAUUGAGAUUGAAAAGAAAAAAAAAACCUUACUCUAGUUAAAAUCCUUCCUACAGGAGUUGAAUCAAAGAAAAGCAUUGGAGCAUUGAAGAUAGCUGCAGUGAAGCUUGAGAAGAAAGCUGUAGAAGCUUUUAAUCCCAAAAGCGCAGUCAAGUAAGUUCUUACAUAAAUAAAAGCAGCACUAGCAAAGGAAAUUAAUGCAUAAAUUCCUAUCAAGGUAGCAUUAGUUACUUUUGGAAUUUCAAUGGCUAUUGCAAGCCAAAAGGUGGAUGCAGUUUGCAAAGCUAUAAAAACAGAUUGUGCUAACACUAUCAAACAUAGCAUGAAUGACCCUUUGGAGUAAUUUAUAUAAUCCCAAAAUGGCUUCCAUCCAACAUUAUCAGUCACCUUUUCUUCCUCUUGUGUAAGUUGUACACCAAUUGGACCCUUGAUACUAGAAAUCUCUUCCUCACUUUGAUUUUUAGUGAAAUAAAAACCUUGAGAGUCUUGAGGAUUAGACAAAACCUCAUUUUCAAAACCUCUUAUAUUUUUGUUAUCUUUAUUCAACUCAGUGAUUGUGUCUUUAUGAGCACUCACAAGAAGUUCAAAGGCUGUUCCAGCUGUCAGGAGAUUCUCAUAACGACCUGAUUGAAUAACUUUUCCACCCUCCAUUACCUAGAAUUUGAGUUCAUCAUAUUAAUUAUGUUCAAAUGUCAUAUAGAUACACAUACAAAUGAAAAACUUUACCAAUAUAGUAUCAACUUCGGAGAGAAACUCCACUUGAUGAGUAACUAGAAUGACUGUUUUCUCUCUUAAAGCAGUCAUGACACAGUCCUAUAAUAUUGUAGAUGCAGUUAGUUUUUUAUACAACAAAAAUGAGGACAAUAAUUUUAUUAUCAUUAAUUAAUUAACAUGAUAAAAGUGAUAUUGUCUUACAUUGAAUAGUAUUGCAGCUGUAUGUGCGUCAACUGCACUGAAAGGAUCGUCAAGAAGAUAGAUAUCUGCAUCAUUGUAGACUGCUCUAGCUAGUUGAAUCCUUUGCUUUUGUCCUCCACUCAUGUUUAU